This 101-nucleotide non-coding RNA is filed under the name Vitrella brassicaformis. The record is from RNAcentral. RNAcentral also lists the same sequence under 1 other name. Lineage: Eukaryota; Vitrellaceae.
CAGAGAUGGCGUGAGUAAUGGGCCGCUGAAGUUGGCUGCAACGGGCGUAUCUCUCUGGUGCAAGAAGAUGUCUGAGAGUGGUCGGGGUAGCUAGCUGAGCU